GAUGAACGCUAGCGGGAGGCCUAACACAUGCAAGCCGAGCGGUAUUGUUUCUUCGGAAAUGAGAGAGCGGCGUACGGGUGCGUAACACGUGUGCAACCUGCCUUUAUCUGGGGGAUAGCCUUUCGAAAGGAAGAUUAAUACUCCAUAAUAUAUUGAACGGCAUCGUUUAAUAUUGAAAGCUCCGGCGGAUAGAGAUGGGCACGCGCAAGAUUAGCUAGUUGGUGAGGUAACGGCUCACCAAGGCGAUGAUCUUUAGGGGGCCUGAGAGGGUGAUCACCCACACUGGUACUGAGACACAGACCAGACUCCUACGGGAGACAGCAGUGAGGAAUAGUGGUCAAUGGGUGCCAGCCUGAACCAGCCAUCCCGCGUGAAGGACGGCUGCCCUAUGGGUUGUAAACUUCUUUUGUAUAGGGAUAAACCUACCCUCGUGAGGGUAGCUGAAGGUACUAUACGAAUAAGCACCGGCUAACUCCGUGCCAGCCGCCGCCGUAA
This 495-nucleotide ribosomal RNA is filed under the name uncultured bacterium. RNAcentral describes it as "partial 16S ribosomal RNA". It matches the Rfam family "Bacterial small subunit ribosomal RNA", at positions 28 to 523 of the family's 1533-position model. The record is from RNAcentral.